This 184-nucleotide ribosomal RNA is filed under the name uncultured eukaryote. RNAcentral describes it as "partial 18S ribosomal RNA". The record is from RNAcentral.
UAGUGAAGCAAUUUGUCUGCUUAAUUGCGAACGGGAUCCGGUCUCACUUAUAAUAGUGGGUAGCAUUAGUUUUUCACUGAUCUUUUUGUUGCUUUUGUGACACUGUUCGCGGUUAACCUAUGCAAGUCCGCACCUUAGAGGCACACUGUUCAAUAUAAUAGCAUAUAGAAGUUGGAAUAUAACA